RNAcentral lists this ribosomal RNA (330 nucleotides) under uncultured Pseudomonadota bacterium. Its description in RNAcentral is "bacterial SSU rRNA". It matches the Rfam family "Bacterial small subunit ribosomal RNA", at positions 29 to 351 of the family's 1533-position model. The record is from RNAcentral. Lineage: Bacteria; Pseudomonadati; Pseudomonadota.
AUUGAACGCUGGCGGCAUGCCUUACACAUGCAAGUCGAGCGGGCAGCGCGGGGAGGGGCAACUCUUCCUGGCGGCGAGCGGCGAACGGGUGAGUAAUACAUCGGAACGUGCCCAGUAGCGGGGGAUAACCAGUCGAAAGAUUGGCUAAUACCGCAUACGAUCCACGGAUGAAAGCGGGGACCGCAAGGCCUCGCACUAUUGGAGCGGCCGAUGUCGGAUUAGCUAGUUGGCGGGGUAAGAGCCCACCAAGGCGACGAUCCCGUAGCUGGUCUGAGAGGAUGAUCAGCCACACUGGAACUGAGACACGGUCCAGACUCCUACGGGAGGCAG